This 26-nucleotide non-coding RNA is filed under the name Homo sapiens (human). The record is from RNAcentral. Lineage: Eukaryota; Metazoa; Chordata; Mammalia; Primates; Hominidae.
UCAAGUGAUAGGUGCACAACAUUGUA